Triticum aestivum (bread wheat) is the source of this 1108-nucleotide long non-coding RNA. RefSeq lists it as uncharacterized. The transcript has 3 exons. NCBI's taxonomy places the organism in Eukaryota, Viridiplantae, Streptophyta, Magnoliopsida, Poales, Poaceae. The record is from RefSeq and is a predicted model, not a curated record.
ACAAACAGGACAUAUGCAUCCAGUACUCGAACCCUCCUGGAGAGUGACCCAGUGAGGCGUAGCGACGCUGCCGCUGCCGAAAUGCCAAGCGACCCCGGGUGAUCCAGGCACGGCAUACAGUGUGACCCCGGUGAGCCGCCCACGAUCCCGGCGACAUCGCCCGACCUCGCUACCCAGCGUCCCAAUCAGUGCCGCCACAUGUGACCUCGGCAAGGCACCCGGCGACCCCCUGCGUGUGAUGCCGCUCCGGCGACCGUCUCUGACCACGUGUCCAUUCUUCCAUCGACCACUUUAGCUGCUGUACAGGGGGAGGCCAAUUCCGUGGGCACUCUGUGAUCACUGCAGGUCAACCUAGCCUCGCACCCCGUUGCAGGUAAAUCGAGCCCUGCGGCCUCCAUGGACCCAUGCCCUGCGCCCCGGCAUCGACCAGAGCUCCCGAUGAGCCGCACGCGCCACCGUCAGUGUCCUCCCUCAACAACACCCGCACCAAAGGUGGGUGCUCUCCCUCCUCUAUUUCUCCCUAGAUCGGAGUGAUAGUUUUGAGUUAGCCUGGGUUGCAAGCUCUGAUUCGUGUGUGGUAGGCAAUUUAUUUAGAAGAAAGCUCUAUUCCGUCUCCAGCCACUUCCUUCGGGGCAGCAAGUCCGGUCUCGAGCAAUGCGGGCAAGCAUUUUUCAAGACACGACGGAUUCAUGAUCAUGUUUCCAAUCCGAAUCAGAGCAUAUGUGAUAUUUCAAUUUACUUUCAGGCAGCAGUAUCUAGCACUUCCCCUCCCACUUCUCUGGAGUAGUUACACGUUCCAUUUCCAACAGGUGAUCGUACCCUGUUCACAUGAUGUACAUUGAGCAAGUACUAUGACUCAACACAUUCUCUUCUAGGGCUAAUUCUGCACCUGUUAUGCUUGAGAGAAGAUAUUUAUUCUUCUUCUUUCACAUUUAGCAGAAACAAUUGCUGACACAAGUGCCAGAAUUUGGUGUGUAUCCAUCAUGAAUUCAAUUUGCUUAUUCAUGUUCGCCACUACAUCCAUGUCUAUUAAAUCAUGGAUGCUUAUGUCACUCAUAUUGACACCUAAUAUUUUAAUGCAGAGAUGAAGACUUGGAUCUGCUUUUGC